AACAUUAUUUCUAUACGAAAAUAAGUAAUUUGUUGCUAUCAAAUUUUGUUAAAACAAAAAUAUUUAUAUAUUUACCUAAAAUUAAUGAAAAAUAAUAAAAGGGUGAAAAAUAAAGAUAAUAGAACACUUUUAUUGCUUAAUGUUUACAAAAUGAAAAAGAAAAACAUUAUUUUUUUAACUAGAAAAUCAGCCAAAGUUUUUGUCAGUGAUGAGGCUAUCAUAAAGACUGAAAGUAAGUUAUCUCCGUGGACUGUAUCUGCCACUAGCCCCCUCUCUCGGCAAUUGAGUUUGUACAUAUGCACACCCUAAUCAUUGCGCUUG
This 321-nucleotide long non-coding RNA is filed under the name Androctonus crassicauda. The record is from RNAcentral. Lineage: Eukaryota; Metazoa; Arthropoda; Arachnida; Scorpiones; Buthidae.